GACGAACCGUGCGAACGUUAUUCGGAAUCACUGGGCUUAAAGGGUGCGUAGGCGGGCACGCGAGUCAGGGGUGAAAUCCCACGGCCCAACCGUGGAAGUGCCUCUGAUACCGCGAGCCUCGAGGGGGAUAGGGGCGUGCGGAACUUCCGGUGGAGCGGUGAAAUGCGUAGAUAUCGGAAGGAACACCGGUGGCGAAAGCGGCGCGCUGGAUCCCUACUGACGCUGAGGCACGAAAGCCAGGGGAGCAAACGGG
This 253-nucleotide ribosomal RNA is filed under the name uncultured bacterium. RNAcentral describes it as "partial 16S ribosomal RNA". It matches the Rfam family "Bacterial small subunit ribosomal RNA", at positions 524 to 776 of the family's 1533-position model. The record is from RNAcentral.